UGAGGAAUAUUGGUCAAUGGGCGAGAGCCUGAACCAGCCAAGUCGCGUGAGGGAGGACGGCCCUACGGGUUGUAAACCUCUUUUGUCAGGGAGCAAGGACUAUCACGUGUGACAGUUCGGAGAGUACCUGAAGAAAAAGCAUCGGCUAACUCCGUGCCAGCAGCCGCGGUAAUACGGAGGAUGCGAGCGUUAUCCGGAUUCAUUGGGUUUAAAGGGUGCGUAGGCGGAAGGUCAAGUCAGCGGUUAAAUCGGGAGGCUCAACCUCCCCCCGCCGUUGAAACUGGUCUCCUUGAGUGGGCGAGAAGUACGCGGAAUGCGUGGUGUAGCGGUGAAAUGCAUAGAUAUCACGCAGAACUCCGAUUGCGAAGGCAGCGUACCGGCGCCCAACUGACGCUGAAGCACGAAAGCGUGGGUAUCGAACAGG
RNAcentral lists this ribosomal RNA (424 nucleotides) under uncultured bacterium. RNAcentral's name for it is "bacterial SSU rRNA". It matches the Rfam family "Bacterial small subunit ribosomal RNA", at positions 355 to 776 of the family's 1533-position model. The record is from RNAcentral.